GCAAGAGCGGUGCCUGGCAACAAGCGCGCUGUUUCUGUGGCCCGGGGCGGGCGUAGUUGGAUCUAGCCGUACUGCAGAGGCAUCUGGGUCCCAGAUGGGCACAGAGGGUACCGAUGAGGAUGAUUUUCAAUUCUCACAGGAUAUCCCUAAACUCUAGGCAAAGUGCGUGUUGUUAGUCGUGACAUACACCAGACAGCGACUUCGUCUUACAAAUAGGAAAAUGGAAGCGUGGCGCUGUAAAUGGCGAACGACAUAUAAGUUGGACUGGGAAAGAGCGGCUUUCCCUCCUUCAGAAUCUGUGGAGAGAAGCUCAGAGGAGGAGUAGGGGAACUAUUGGCGAGGAGGUUAGGGUCUACCCUGUUCUUCUGACUCAAGCAACCCCGGCUUUUUGCUAAGGCAAACAUGGCUCUGAGAACAGUUGAAAAAACAAAGGCUAAGAAGGCGCAUUUCUCCUUAGAGCAGGACAACAGCCGUCUGUCUAUAGGGCAAUCCUGGGGCCAAACCAUUUAGGUUUCUGAGAAAGCCCCUGGUGAUGCUUGAAAUUAAGAGACGUCUCUGGAUUAGAAAAGUAAAGAAGUGACCUACGUGUGUCUGUUUCAAAAUGGUCUCCUUUAUCUUUCUCAGUAACCUUUGGGUUUGUCCUUGGAGUGAAGUUGAUGCUUGCAGAAUGGCAGGUGACAGGUGCAGGAAACUGCAGAGGGACAAGCCAACUGUGUCUAUCUUGUAGCUGUGGCCCAGCUUCAAAAUGGGUGCGAAUUCUUGGAUAGCAAGCAGAACUAGAGAUUAGCCACUGCGUCUUGCUAGGCCCUGCCAUCCACAUCCACUUGUGCUCAGCCUUGUCUAGUCUUUAACACAGGUGGAGAACCAGCAGAUGCUGUUCAUAUUCUCAAAACUGGAAGUUGGACUUCGAUUUUGUUGUUAUUGUUUUGAAGCAAGAUUGACAAAGUUACUGGAUCAGUAACCCAGACUGGCCAGGGACUCUCUGUGUAAGCCAGGCUGGUUCGUCAGAGAGCUGGGAUUAUAACCCUCUUCCCCCCUUUUAAGUGCUGGGGAUUAAACAUCGAGUUUCAUGUGUGCUAAGCAAGCACUCUACCAACUGAGCUACCUUCUCAGCUCAAGCCACAGAAGAUCCUGCCCUUUGUGACAUGGCUCCAGUGAACACCCCAAACUUGGAUCUCCACCAAUGCAUGGAACUGAGAAAGAACCCGAACAAAACCUAAGAACCAGACGGAUUGUGGUCAUCCGUCAGCAGUGGUCAUUUUGUAAUUGUGGGAAUAAUCAAUGCAUAUUCCAUGAAAGCAGAGUGUGGGAGGUACCUGUAGGGAGGCAGUACUACAGCAGGUCAUCAAUUAUGGAAAGGGCUGAUGAACGCUAACAGCGCUUCCCACUCCCCCAGCUGAAACUAUAGAGGGUCAGAAGCCCCAAACUGCUGAGCUCUGCACACAGUGGGAGGAGUGGCGUCGGGAGGGGAAGCAGAGAAUGGCUCGCCAAGAGACCCUGGCUUCUAACAACCAGCUCAAGAGAAGUUCCUAGUGAUUAAAUUAAUAAACUGAGCUCAACAAAUUGA
Long non-coding RNA from Mus musculus (house mouse), 1567 nucleotides. RefSeq annotates it as predicted gene, 36913. The record is from RefSeq and is marked validated. The transcript has 5 exons. NCBI's taxonomy places the organism in Eukaryota, Metazoa, Chordata, Mammalia, Rodentia, Muridae.